UCUGGUUCUGGCCUUUACUUUUCUAAGGACACCUGCAUGGAAGACUGAGUUACUAAUAAAGGGUUUGAAAGAAAGAAAGAAAAAAAAAACUUCAUAAAAUUUCUGUACUCUUCUAGAGAAAGACCACUUUGAAAUAAGAUUAAUAACUAACUUUUAUUGAGCCUUUAGUAUAUGCACCAGACUCUGUGUUCAGCACUUUACAUAGAUUACUUCCCUUAGUCUUUACAACCACACUAUGAGGUAUAAGCACCAUUAGCCCUAUUUUGCAGGUGAUGAAAUGGAGACUUGGGGGCAUCAAAAGACAUCUGUGAGGUCAGUUAGCAAGCUAUAGAUCCAGGAUUUGAACUUGGGCAGUGUGACAUGAGAUUCAGGCUCUUAACCAUGGUAUUUAUUGUGCCUGCUCAUUAUCCAUUGAAAUAGGCCUUUUUGCAUCUCCUUGUAUGGGAGGUUUGUGUGUGUGUGUGUGUGUGUGUGUGUGUGUGUGUGUGUUUUGUCUGUUUUAUGCACAAAUACAUGCCUAUAGAUAUAGGGAAAACAUUGAACUGGCUUCAUUCCAUUUAGCUGGAAGUAAAAUGAUAUGAAACAUGUUGACCAAGAUUUAGCAGAGGAACAGGUUUCCUAGACUUACAGUCUUCAUCCUGGUUGGUAGAGUGAGGGAGGAGCUGAAUAGAAGGAGGAAGUAGAAGGGAUAGAAAGAAGACCUUAUAGGCAUAUUUCAAAAUUUAUUUGAAGGGUGGGAAUUUGGUCUGCUCUGGCCACCUUUGUAAUGUUGGUUUUUUGAGACUUAACUUGGGAAACGUCUGGGCUCUCAACUAAUGUGUUUCGUUUGAGCUCAUCUUCUCAGGUAUACUGGGAGAGGCCAGGGACUGCAGAUGGAGUGAGGAUUUGGCCUUGCUGCCCUGUGGUCCUUACAAUAGAGUCAGAUGUAUAGAUUCUAAUUGCAUUUUUAAAGAGAGAACCACGGAUAUCCUUUCUUCCCCUAUCAAAUAUCCUCAGGGACAGUCUGUUUGUCCAGGAGAAACAAGGUUAUUUUAUUGAUUGAGGAUGAUGUCAGACCCCUGGCAGUGGCGUGAUUAAAGCUGUGGGCAGAUUAAAGGUUGCAGAGUUCGUACUAUUUUAGUUCUUGCACAUGAGACAAGGAAUCUUUUCCUUUCUCUAAUAAAUAAAUGGAGUAGUGUUCUCCUUCUUAUGUGACUCUUAACAUGUAGAUGAACAUAAGUUCUUUAAGGAAAACAGUAAACUGGAGAGGAAUCAGCAAAGGUUUUUUUUUUUUUCUUCUAAGACUGAUUUCUUUUCCUCUUUUAAACAGAAACAAAAAAGGCCAGGGGGCGGGGUGGUGGGGAGGGACAAUCUGUGUCCGGUUGACAUAAAGUGAUUUGGGUUUUGAAAAGGAUAUGGAGGAGAGGGGACAACAUUAAAGGAAAAGAGUAAGACUUUGGAUAAGUAAAGUUUUCUUGGUAAGGAGCUGGGUGUCAAGAGCAAGCCAGUCAAAAUCAGCAUGAAGAAUCUAAAUAGUACUGGAAAAGAAUUGUAUGGUGGUUUCUCACCAGGGGCUCAAGUUUAAAAGCUUUGGGCUGUUUUCUGUGUGUUUAAAUU
This 1596-nucleotide long non-coding RNA is filed under the name Sus scrofa (pig). RNAcentral's name for it is "lncRNA (ENSSSCG00005002457.1)". The record is from RNAcentral. Lineage: Eukaryota; Metazoa; Chordata; Mammalia; Artiodactyla; Suidae.